GUGAAGGAGGAAGCAGCAUUCAGUUAAGAUGGAAAUAAUUAGGGUUUUAUGAUAAUUACAGGAUUUCAACUUAAUCAUAGAAAGGGAGUGUCCACUUACAAAACCAAUGUCUUUUGACUGUAUUCCGUCGUUCUUUUUACAAUUUGAUGAAUGAUCAUCCAAAGCCACAGUGACAGGGUUUAGAAGAGCGAGCUGGCAGCACUAUCCUGACCAUCAGAAUGAAGCUGAUCCUUUCUGUGAUUCUUCUUUGGACGUUCUACAUUUCAGCUGAAGGUCUGGACUGUCUAAGCUGCAGAGAUUCAUCGUGUUUCAUUGAAGAAUUUCGGAGUGUUUCUGUCACAUGUUCCUCAGAGACCAUGUGUGUAACCGCCUCCAUUCUAGAGACUGCACAAAAUGGCAGUUCAGUGUUGAACUUUUUCAACGGCUGUGCAUCACCCUCUGUGUGUUCAUCCACGGGGCCAAAGACAUUCUCACUGCAUCUUGGUCUCUUUGGUAAAGUGAUAUCUGCUAACUGCUGUGACAUGGACAACUGCAACACUCAGGCUUUCCCUCGUAUUCCCGAUCAAUUGGAAAACACUCUCAGUUGUUUCUAUUGUAUUGACAAUGAUAAUUGUGAGGCCGGCUUUACCUGUCUAGGAGGCGAGGACAGGUGUAUCCAAGGAAAUGUAACGAGCGGCACUCCAGUUUAUGGCUGUGCAUCUUCCAGUGUUUGCCAAGUUGUAUCAAACAAUGGAGAAGUGCCAUUCUUUGAAGAUCUUGGAGAAUUCAGGAGUGCAUCCACAUGUUGUGCUACUAACUUGUGUAACAAUGAAAUAUCAAUACUUUCAGGUAUGUGAUCGCAACUUGCAUAUCAAAUUUCGACUAUUGUUCUUUAUAUGGGCUGUGUGAACAAUUGUAGACUCGCACGAAAAACAAUUGUGGGUCAGUCAAAUUAUUAAUUGCUUAAAAAUAGAAAUGAAGAGUCAAUAAUAAGAAGAAAGUGAUAUACUGGUCCUAUAAUGAUAUACUGGUCCUAUAAUGCUAGACAUACUUCCUAUGUCUAGCAUAAAUUUGCAAUUUUGAAUUAACCAUCAAUUUUUUCACAUGGUUAAAUGUUGAGCAGUCUGCAUCAGACCUGAACAGUCUGAGUCUGCCUGUGUCCCUGAAGGCAUCGCAGCACAUGGUGAGCCAGGCAUAAUUCACAGUAGAUAUGAUUCAGAACUAAAACACAUGCUUAUUGCCAUCCAUCUUGAGACUAAAAUCCACGCUGUAAGUCCAGCUCAUAAACCUGUGUUCCCAAACAUCCGGCCUUCAGUUGGUGCUGUUGCAAAAAAAAAAUGGUAGGGUCCUAAACCGCGGGUCCUAAUUCAAUGGGUCCUUGACCGAUGGUUUUCGGCUGUGCCAACAUAUACUCCUUGAAACGAGUAUAGCCUCCGUUCACAGCCAAGAGAGCACAAUUAUGUAGUUUUGUGUUGGGUUAAUGGUGCACUAAUCGCCGUGAUAGUUCAGUUAAACGUGGAUUCUUUAGUAAGGGAAGUCGGCAAGUCAGAUCUGUAACUUUGGGAUAAGGAUUGGCUCUCAGAGCUUGGCCACUCGCUGCGUCUGUGGCACUCCCCCCUACUCCCUGCCUCGCCUCUGUCGUCGGUAUUUUAAUAUUCUGAUUGAAGUAGUGCCUGAUUUGUAGGUACCUGAAAAAAUCUUAGGAGCCCAACCCAUGUUUAUGCCUCAGCGCAUCAAUUGUUUGUAGAGCCCCCUUGUGGACAAAUCAAUUACAGUUGGUUAAUCCUUUCCAAAAUACUGUUUUAAAUCUGUUAUCAUAGUUAUUAGGAGUAAAUUCUGAAUCAUAUGCACACCAUUUCAGAAUUUUAGAUUCCUCCUGUAAACCACAUAUGUUAAUUACUUAAUUCCAGGCUGGAAUUAUUGUGUACAAUAUGUGUUCAGUUGAAAGACCUUUUUUGGAUAGCAAUUUAAAGUCUGCAAUUAGAGCUUUGAGUGGUAUCCCUUUGAUUGUAGUCCCCUCUAUAUCCUUCCUUCCGCUGUGUAAGUUGGAGAGCACAGACAAACUAGGGGCCUCACCUGGGAAGCAUAAAAAUAUUCUCGUAAACAUUUUCUUUCUUAAUUUGUUUUUAACUUAAUUCUGGGUUUUUUACCCUUCCAUUGAAACCUAGAUAAAAUGUGGUUCAAUUCUGCAAAUAGUUUUUGAGGUAUGGAAAUGGUAAACAUUGGAACAAAUAUAAGGUCUAAAAUCAUUUUAAAUGGUAAUCAAUCGAUUGUAUAGACGCAAAGCAAUAACGCAUUGGUCUUAAGCGCGAGAGACUUUAGAUUUUUAAAAGCCCAUUUAAUAUUAAUAACGUUACUGUUUGUGACUUCAGUAGCUGUGUUUUCAUUACAGAUUUUCACAAAAUAAAAGCAAUAUUUCUAAAUGUUGACA
Molecule: long non-coding RNA, 2410 nt
Organism: Gouania willdenowi (blunt-snouted clingfish)
Lineage: Eukaryota; Metazoa; Chordata; Actinopteri; Blenniiformes; Gobiesocidae
Source: Ensembl